CACCUUUGACAUGUACGGAAUCCUUUAGAGAUAGAGGAGUGCUCGAAAGAGAACCGUAACACAGGUGCUGCAUGGCUGUCGUCAGCUCGUGUCGUGAGAUGUUGGGUUAAGUCCCGCAACGAGCGCAACCCUUGCCAUUAGUUGCUACGAAAGGGCACUCUAAUGGGACUGCCGGUGACAAACCGGAGGAAGGUGGGGAUGACGUCAAGUCCUCAUGGCCCUUAUAGGUGGGGCUACACACGU
RNAcentral lists this ribosomal RNA (243 nucleotides) under uncultured bacterium. Its description in RNAcentral is "partial 16S ribosomal RNA". It matches the Rfam family "Bacterial small subunit ribosomal RNA", at positions 976 to 1223 of the family's 1533-position model. The record is from RNAcentral.